AGCGGAGGAAAAGAAACCAACAGGAUUGCCCUAGUAACGGCGAGUGAAGCGGCAACAGCUCAAAUUUGAAAUCUGGCUCUUUCAGAGUCCGAGUUGUAAUUUGCAGAGGGCGCUUUGGCUUUGGCAGCGGUCCAAGUUCCUUGGAACAGGACGUCACAGAGGGUGAGAAUCCCGUACGUGGUCGCUAGCUAUUGCCGUGUAAAGCCCCUUCGACGAGUCGAGUUGUUUGGGAAUGCAGCUCUAAAUGGGAGGUAAAUUUCUUCUAAAGCUAAAUAUUGGCCAGAGACCGAUAGCGCACAAGUAGAGUGAUCGAAAGAUGAAAAGCACUUUGGAAAGAGAGUCAAACAGCACGUGAAAUUGUUGAAAGGGAAGCGCUUGCAGCCAGACUUGCUUGCAGUUGCUCAUCCGGGCUUUUGCCCGGUGCACUCUUCUGCAGGCAGGCCAGCAUCAGUUUGGGCGGUGGGAUAAAGGUCUCUGUCAUGUACCUCUCUUCGGGGAGGCCUUAUAGGGGAGGCGACAUACCACCAGCCUAGACUGAGGUCCGCGCAUCUGCUAGGAUGCUGGCGUAAUGGCUGUAAGCGGCCCGUCUUGAAUUGCG
RNAcentral lists this ribosomal RNA (598 nucleotides) under Exserohilum rostratum. RNAcentral's name for it is "partial large subunit ribosomal RNA". It matches the Rfam family "Eukaryotic large subunit ribosomal RNA", at positions 49 to 663 of the family's 3401-position model. The record is from RNAcentral. Lineage: Eukaryota; Fungi; Ascomycota; Dothideomycetes; Pleosporales; Pleosporaceae.